Molecule: transfer RNA, 79 nt
Filed under: Blumeria hordei DH14
Lineage: Eukaryota; Fungi; Ascomycota; Leotiomycetes; Helotiales; Erysiphaceae
Description: tRNA-Arg for anticodon UCU
Rfam family: tRNA
About the family: Transfer RNA (tRNA) molecules are approximately 80 nucleotides in length.
Source: Rfam by way of RNAcentral
GUCGCAUUGGCGCAAUGGUAGCGCGCAAGACUUCUACAACGAGAUCUUGAGGCUGUGGGUUCGAGCCCCACAUGCGAUG